Molecule: ribosomal RNA, 2902 nt
Filed under: food metagenome
Description: bacterial LSU rRNA
Rfam family: Bacterial large subunit ribosomal RNA
Source: RNAcentral
UUAAGCGACUAAGCGUACACGGUGGAUGCCCUGGCAGUCAGAGGCGAUGAAGGACGUGCUAAUCUGCGAAAAGCGUCGGUAAGGUGAUAUGAACCGUUAUAGCCGGCGAUUUCCGAAUGGGGAAACCCAGUGCAAUUCGUUGCACUAUCGUUUGAUGAAUACAUAGUCAAAUGAGGCGAACCGGGGGAACUGAAACAUCUAAGUACCCCGAGGAAAAGAAAUCAACCGAGAUUCCCCCAGUAGCGGCGAGCGAACGGGGAGCAGCCCAGAGCCUGAAUCAGUGUGUGUGUUAGUGGAAGCGUCUGGAAAGGCGCGCGAUACAGGGUGACAGCCCCGUACACAAAAAUGCACAUGCUGUGAGCUCGAUGAGUAGGGCGGGACACGUGGUAUCCUGUCUGAAUAUGGGGGGACCAUCCUCCAAGGCUAAAUACUCCUGACUGACCGAUAGUGAACCAGUACCGUGAGGGAAAGGCGAAAAGAACCCCGGCGAGGGGAGUGAAAAAGAACCUGAAACCGUGUACGUACAAGCAGUGGGAGCACGCUUAGGCGUGUGACUGCGUACCUUUUGUAUAAUGGGUCAGCGACUUAUAUUCUGUAGCAAGGUUAACCGAAUAGGGGAGCCGAAGGGAAACCGAGUCUUAACUGGGCGUUAAGUUGCAGGGUAUAGACCCGAAACCCGGUGAUCUAGCCAUGGGCAGGUUGAAGGUUGGGUAACACUAACUGGAGGACCGAACCGACUAAUGUUGAAAAAUUAGCGGAUGACUUGUGGCUGGGGGUGAAAGGCCAAUCAAACCGGGAGAUAGCUGGUUCUCCCCGAAAGCUAUUUAGGUAGCGCCUCGUGAAUUCAUCUCCGGGGGUAGAGCACUGUUUCGGCAAGGGGGUCAUCCCGACUUACCAACCCGAUGCAAACUGCGAAUACCGGAGAAUGUUAUCACGGGAGACACACGGCGGGUGCUAACGUCCGUCGUGAAGAGGGAAACAACCCAGACCGCCAGCUAAGGUCCCAAAGUCAUGGUUAAGUGGGAAACGAUGUGGGAAGGCCCAGACAGCCAGGAUGUUGGCUUAGAAGCAGCCAUCAUUUAAAGAAAGCGUAAUAGCUCACUGGUCGAGUCGGCCUGCGCGGAAGAUGUAACGGGGCUAAACCAUGCACCGAAGCUGCGGCAGCGACGCUUAUGCGUUGUUGGGUAGGGGAGCGUUCUGUAAGCCUGUGAAGGUGUGCUGUGAGGCAUGCUGGAGGUAUCAGAAGUGCGAAUGCUGACAUAAGUAACGAUAAAGCGGGUGAAAAGCCCGCUCGCCGGAAGACCAAGGGUUCCUGUCCAACGUUAAUCGGGGCAGGGUGAGUCGACCCCUAAGGCGAGGCCGAAAGGCGUAGUCGAUGGGAAACAGGUUAAUAUUCCUGUACUUGGUGUUACUGCGAAGGGGGGACGGAGAAGGCUAUGUUGGCCGGGCGACGGUUGUCCCGGUUUAAGCGUGUAGGCUGGUUUUCCAGGCAAAUCCGGAAAAUCAAGGCUGAGGCGUGAUGACGAGGCACUACGGUGCUGAAGCAACAAAUGCCCUGCUUCCAGGAAAAGCCUCUAAGCAUCAGGUAACAUCAAAUCGUACCCCAAACCGACACAGGUGGUCAGGUAGAGAAUACCAAGGCGCUUGAGAGAACUCGGGUGAAGGAACUAGGCAAAAUGGUGCCGUAACUUCGGGAGAAGGCACGCUGAUAUGUAGGUGAAGUCCCUCGCGGAUGGAGCUGAAAUCAGUCGAAGAUACCAGCUGGCUGCAACUGUUUAUUAAAAACACAGCACUGUGCAAACACGAAAGUGGACGUAUACGGUGUGACGCCUGCCCGGUGCCGGAAGGUUAAUUGAUGGGGUCAGCGCAAGCGAAGCUCUUGAUCGAAGCCCCGGUAAACGGCGGCCGUAACUAUAACGGUCCUAAGGUAGCGAAAUUCCUUGUCGGGUAAGUUCCGACCUGCACGAAUGGCGUAAUGAUGGCCAGGCUGUCUCCACCCGAGACUCAGUGAAAUUGAACUCGCUGUGAAGAUGCAGUGUACCCGCGGCAAGACGGAAAGACCCCGUGAACCUUUACUAUAGCUUGACACUGAACAUUGAGCCUUGAUGUGUAGGAUAGGUGGGAGGCUUUGAAGUGUGGACGCCAGUCUGCAUGGAGCCGACCUUGAAAUACCACCCUUUAAUGUUUGAUGUUCUAACGUUGACCCGUAAUCCGGGUUGCGGACAGUGUCUGGUGGGUAGUUUGACUGGGGCGGUCUCCUCCUAAAGAGUAACGGAGGAGCACGAAGGUUGGCUAAUCCUGGUCGGACAUCAGGAGGUUAGUGCAAUGGCAUAAGCCAGCUUGACUGCGAGCGUGACGGCGCGAGCAGGUGCGAAAGCAGGUCAUAGUGAUCCGGUGGUUCUGAAUGGAAGGGCCAUCGCUCAACGGAUAAAAGGUACUCCGGGGAUAACAGGCUGAUACCGCCCAAGAGUUCAUAUCGACGGCGGUGUUUGGCACCUCGAUGUCGGCUCAUCACAUCCUGGGGCUGAAGUAGGUCCCAAGGGUAUGGCUGUUCGCCAUUUAAAGUGGUACGCGAGCUGGGUUUAGAACGUCGUGAGACAGUUCGGUCCCUAUCUGCCGUGGGCGCUGGAGAACUGAGGGGGGCUGCUCCUAGUACGAGAGGACCGGAGUGGACGCAUCACUGGUGUUCGGGUUGUCAUGCCAAUGGCACUGCCCGGUAGCUAAAUGCGGAAGAGAUAAGUGCUGAAAGCAUCUAAGCACGAAACUUGCCCCGAGAUGAGUUCUCCCUGACUCCUUGAGAGUCCUGAAGGAACGUUGAAGACGACGACGUUGAUAGGCCGGGUGUGUAAGCGCAGCGAUGCGUUGAGCUAACCGGUACUAAUGAACCGUGAGGCUUAACCUU